CCAAACACCCAGGCAGUAGGAGAGGAUGCUCUUCACUGAGGAGCAGUAGAAGGCCAGCACCAGCUUCUGGUCCAGGUUAUUCUUCCUCAGGACACGGAGGAAAUGCAGCCACUGCUGGGCCUUCUUUACCAGGGCGAUGGUGUUGUGGGUCCAGGUGGACUCCAGUUAAGUUGUAGAAACAUCUGAUGAUGAUGUGUGGAAACAGGAUGCACUUGAGCUCAACUUUGAGUGUCACGGUAAAGAGUUCAGAUCGUGCACGAUGAUCAGGAAUAAUUCGCUCCUGCAAUACAGGAAGGAAACUUCCCCUCUUGGCUCAGUGUGACCACCAUGUCUGUUCUUCAUGUGGUCCUCUCCCACUUGCCAUUAUUGGGGUUCCCUGAAGAGUACUUCAAAGCCUCCUUAGAUGUUUAGGCUUGUUCACACCUGUGAACCUACUUCAUAAAACCCUAACCCUUCCACAAGCAAAUCAGCGAUUUUGUUUGUGCCGCCUUCAUCUUAGCAUUUUCUC
Long non-coding RNA from Oreochromis niloticus (Nile tilapia), 508 nucleotides. RefSeq lists it as uncharacterized. NCBI's taxonomy places the organism in Eukaryota, Metazoa, Chordata, Actinopteri, Cichliformes, Cichlidae. The record is from RefSeq and is a predicted model, not a curated record. The transcript is spliced from 3 exons.